UACGUAGGUGGCGAGCGUUGUCCGGAUUUACUGGGUGUAAAGGGCGUGUAGGCGGAUUCUCAAGUCAGGUGUGAAAUACCGCAGCUUAACUGCGGGGCUGCACUUGAAACUGGGAACCUUGAGUGUUGGAGAGGAAAGCGGAAUUCCUAGUGUAGCGGUGAAAUGCGUAGAUAUUAGGAGGAACACCAGUGGCGAAGGCGGCUUUCUGGACAAUAACUGACGCUGAGGCGCGAAAGCGUGGGGAGCAAACAGG
RNAcentral lists this ribosomal RNA (253 nucleotides) under uncultured bacterium. RNAcentral's name for it is "partial 16S ribosomal RNA". It matches the Rfam family "Bacterial small subunit ribosomal RNA", at positions 524 to 776 of the family's 1533-position model. The record is from RNAcentral.